UACAGGGGGGGCAAGCGUUGUUCGGAAUUACUGGGCGUAAAGCGCACGUAGGCGGCUUUGUAAGUUAGAGGUGAAAGCCCAGGGCUUAACCCUGGAAUUGCCUUUAAGACUGCAUCGCUAGAAUUGUGGAGAGGUAAGUGGAAUUCCGAGUGUAGAGGUGAAAUUCGUAGAUAUUCGGAAGAACACCAGUGGCGAAGGCGACUUACUGGACACAUAUUGACGCUGAGGUGCGAAAGCGUGGGGAGCAAACAGG
Molecule: ribosomal RNA, 253 nt
Filed under: uncultured bacterium
Lineage: Bacteria
Description: partial 16S ribosomal RNA
Rfam family: Bacterial small subunit ribosomal RNA
Source: RNAcentral